RNAcentral lists this ribosomal RNA (2924 nucleotides) under Mangrovimicrobium sediminis. RNAcentral describes it as "Haliea sp. SAOS-164 23S ribosomal RNA". It matches the Rfam family "Bacterial large subunit ribosomal RNA". The record is from RNAcentral. Lineage: Bacteria; Pseudomonadati; Pseudomonadota; Gammaproteobacteria; Cellvibrionales; Halieaceae.
GUUAUAUGGUCAAGUGACUAAGCGUAUACGGUGGAUGCCUUGGCAGUCAGAGGCGAUGAAGGACGUUGGAGCCUGCGAAAAGUCUCGGGGAGGUGGCAACCAACCUUUGAUCCGGGAAUGUCCGAAUGGGGAAACCCACCUGUUGUAAGGCAGGUAUCGUUAACUGAAUACAUAGGUUAACGAGGCGAACGCGGGGAACUGAAACAUCUAAGUACCCGUAGGAACAGAAAUCAAUUGAGAUUCCCCCAGUAGCGGCGAGCGACCGGGGAGGAGCCUGCAAGUGAUAGCUUGUGCGUUAGUGGAACGGUCUGGAAAGUCCGGCGAUAGAGGGUGAUAGCCCCGUACACGAAAACGCGCUUGUGGUACUGAGCUUGCGACAAGUAGGACGGCACACGUGAUAUGUUGUCUGAAGAUGGGGGGACCAUCCUCCAAGGCUAAAUACUCCUGACUGACCGAUAGUGAACCAGUACCGUGAGGGAAAGGCGAAAAGAACCCCGGAGAGGGGAGUGAAAUAGAACCUGAAACCGUAUACGUACAAGCAGUGGGAGCCCCUUCGUGGGGUGACUGCGUACCUUUUGUAUAAUGGGUCAGCGACUUAUUGUCUGUAGCAAGCUUAACCGUUUAGGGGAGGCGUAGGGAAACCGAGUCUUAAUAGGGCGAUUCAGUUGCAGGCAAUAGACCCGAAACCGGGCGAUCUAUCCAUGGCCAGGCUGAAGGUUGGGUAACACUAACUGGAGGGCCGAACCCACUAAUGUUGAAAAAUUAGGGGAUGAGCUGUGGAUCGGAGUGAAAGGCUAAUCAAGCCCGGAGAUAGCUGGUUCUCCUCGAAAUCUAUUUAGGUAGAGCGUCGUGUCUAACCCUGGGGGGUAGAGCACUGUUUGGGCUAGGGGGUCAUCCCGACUUACCAACCCCAUGCAAACUCCGAAUACCCAGGAGUUCAAUCACGGCAGACAGACGGCGGGUGCUAACGUCCGUCGUCGAGAGGGCAACAACCCAGACCGCCAGCUAAGGUCCCCAAACACUAUUAAGUGGGAAACGAUGUGGGAAGGCUUAGACAGCUAGGAGGUUGGCUUAGAAGCAGCCACCCUUUAAAGAAAGCGUAAUAGCUCACUAGUCGAGUCGGCCUGCGCGGAAGAUGUAACGGGGCUAAAUAGUGUACCGAAGCUGCGGAUGCCACUUUGUGGCAUGGUAGAGGAGCGUUCUGUAAGCCGUUGAAGGUGAACCGGGAGGUUUGCUGGAGGUAUCAGAAGUGCGAAUGCUGACAUGAGUAACGACAAGGGGGGUGAAAAACCUCCCCGCCGGAAGAUCAAGGUUUCCUGCGCAACGCUAAUCGGCGCAGGGUGAGUCGGCCCCUAAGGCGAGGCAGAAAUGCGUAGUCGAUGGGAAGCAGGUUAAUAUUCCUGCACUUCUUGUUAUUGCGAUGGAGGGACGGAGAAGGCUAGGCCAGCGCGGCGUUGGUUGUCCGCGUUUAAGGUUGUAGGCUGGUGACUUAGGUAAAUCCGGGUUGCCUUAAGGCCGAGAGCUGAUGACGAGUCCAAGGGGAGACCCGCGGAUGAAGUGGUUGAUGCCCUGCUUCCAGGAAAAGCUUCUAAGCUUCAGGUAACAAGGAACCGUACUGUAAACCGACACAGGUGAUCAGGUAGAGAAUACCAAGGCGCUUGAGAGAACUCGGGUGAAGGAACUAGGCAAAAUGGUACCGUAACUUCGGGAGAAGGUACGCCGGUUUUGGUGAUGGGACUUGCUCCCUGAGCUGAGGCUGGCCGAAGUGACCAGGUGGCUGCGACUGUUUAUUAAAAACAUAGCACUCUGCAAACACGUAAGUGGACGUAUAGGGUGUGACGCCUGCCCGGUGCCGGAAGGUUAAUUGAUGGGGUUAGCUUCGGCGAAGCUCUUGAUCGAAGCCCCGGUAAACGGCGGCCGUAACUAUAACGGUCCUAAGGUAGCGAAAUUCCUUGUCGGGUAAGUUCCGACCUGCACGAAUGGCGUAACGAUGGCCACACUGUCUCCACCCGAGACUCAGUGAAAUUGAAAUCGCUGUUAAGAUGCAGUGUACCCGCGGCUAGACGGAAAGACCCCGUGAACCUUUACUACAGCUUUGCACUGGACUUUGACCUUACUUGUGUAGGAUAGCUGGGAGGCUUUGAAGCAGUGGCGCCAGCCAUUGUGGAGCCGACCUUGAAAUACCAGCCUGGUAAUGUUGGGGUUCUAACCUGGGUCCCUUAUCGGGAUCGGGGACAGUGUAUGGUGGGUAGUUUGACUGGGGCGGUCUCCUCCCAAAGUGUAACGGAGGAGCACGAAGGUGCGCUAAUCAUGGUCGGAAAUCAUGAGGUUAGUGUAAAGGCACAAGCGCGCUUGACUGCGAGUCUGACAAGACGAGCAGGUACGAAAGUAGGUCUUAGUGAUCCGGUGGUUCUGUAUGGAAGGGCCAUCGCUCAACGGAUAAAAGGUACUCCGGGGAUAACAGGCUGAUACCGCCCAAGAGUUCACAUCGACGGCGGUGUUUGGCACCUCGAUGUCGGCUCAUCACAUCCUGGGGCUGAAGCCGGUCCCAAGGGUAUGGCUGUUCGCCAUUUAAAGUGGUACGCGAGCUGGGUUUAGAACGUCGUGAGACAGUUCGGUCCCUAUCUGCCGUGGGCGUUGGAGAAUUGAGGGAAGCUGCUCCUAGUACGAGAGGACCGGAGUGGACGAACCUCUGGUGUUCCGGUUGUAUCGCCAGAUGCAUUGCCGGGUAGCUAUGUUCGGACGGGAUAACCGCUGAAAGCAUCUAAGCGGGAAGCCCCUCCCAAGAUGAGUUCUCCCUGGGGACUUGAUCCCCCUAAAGGGCCGUGGAAGACCACCACGUUGAUAGGCUGGGUGUGGAAGCGUUGUAAGGCGUUAAGCUAACCAGUACUAAUUGCCCGUGAGGCUUGACCAUAUAUCCUAAG